Molecule: ribosomal RNA, 55 nt
Filed under: Funneliformis mosseae
Lineage: Eukaryota; Fungi; Glomeromycota; Glomeromycetes; Glomerales; Glomeraceae
Description: partial 18S ribosomal RNA
Source: RNAcentral
GGAAGAUACGUCGAACAGAGAAUAAACCGUAGGUGAACCUGCGGAAGGAUCAUUA